Molecule: non-coding RNA, 164 nt
Organism: Dipodomys ordii (Ord's kangaroo rat)
Lineage: Eukaryota; Metazoa; Chordata; Mammalia; Rodentia; Heteromyidae
Source: Rfam
AUUGCUUCUCAGCCUUUUGGCUAAGAUCAAGUAUAGUAUCUGUGUAGUAUCAAGUAUACUAUCUGUGUAGUAUCAAUUUAUAGUUAUUUUCUUACGGAAUUCCCAUAUUGAUGUUCACAACGGCCAGACUAAUUUACAUUUCCAACAGUUUGCUUUUUCCUCCC